UGGUGGGUAGUUUGACUGGGGCGGUCUCCUCCUAAAGAGUAACGGAGGAGCACGAAGGUUGGCUAAUCCUGGUCGGACAUCAGGAGGUUAGUGCAAUGGCAUAAGCCAGCUUGACUGCGAGCGUGACGGCGCGAGCAGGUGCGAAAGCAGGUCAUAGUGAUCCGGUGGUUCUGAAUGGAAGGGCCAUCGCUCAACGGAUAAAAGGUACUCCGGGGAUAACAGGCUGAUACCGCCCAAGAGUUCAUAUCGACGGCGGUGUUUGGCACCUCGAUGUCGGCUCAUCACAUCCUGGGGCUGAAGUAGGUCCCAAGGGUAUGGCUGUUCGCCAUUUAAAGUGGUACGCGAGCUGGGUUUAGAACGUCGUGAGACAGUUCGGUCCCUAUCUGCCGUGGGCGCUGGAGAACUGAGGGGGGCUGCUCCUAGUACGAGAGGACCGGAGUGGACGCAUCACUGGUGUUCGGGUUGUCAUGCCAAUGGCACUGCCCGGUAGCUAAAUGC
RNAcentral lists this ribosomal RNA (498 nucleotides) under Escherichia coli. RNAcentral describes it as "partial 23S ribosomal RNA". It matches the Rfam family "Bacterial large subunit ribosomal RNA", at positions 2259 to 2756 of the family's 2925-position model. Lineage: Bacteria; Pseudomonadati; Pseudomonadota; Gammaproteobacteria; Enterobacterales; Enterobacteriaceae. The record is from RNAcentral. RNAcentral also lists the same sequence under 2 other names.